RNAcentral lists this ribosomal RNA (253 nucleotides) under uncultured bacterium. RNAcentral's name for it is "partial 16S ribosomal RNA". It matches the Rfam family "Bacterial small subunit ribosomal RNA", at positions 524 to 776 of the family's 1533-position model. The record is from RNAcentral.
UACAGAGGUCUCAAGCGUUGUUCGGAUUCAUUGGGCGUAAAGGGUGCGUAGGCGGCGCGGUAAGUCGGGUGUGAAAUCUCGGAGCUUAACUUCGAAACUGCAUUCGAUACUGCCGUGCUUGAGGACUGGAGAGGAGACUGGAAUUUACGGUGUAGCGGUGAAAUGCGUAGACAUCGUAAGGAAGACCAGUGGCGAAGGCGGGUCUCUGGACAGUUCCUGACGCUGAGGCACGAAGGUCAGGGGAGCAAACGGG